Callithrix jacchus (white-tufted-ear marmoset) is the source of this 297-nucleotide unclassified non-coding RNA. It matches the Rfam family "Metazoan signal recognition particle RNA". From Rfam's summary of the family: The signal recognition particle (SRP) is a universally conserved ribonucleoprotein. It is involved in the co-translational targeting of proteins to membranes. NCBI's taxonomy places the organism in Eukaryota, Metazoa, Chordata, Mammalia, Primates, Cebidae. The record is from Ensembl.
GCCCAGUGUGGUGGCGCGUGCCUGUAGUCCCAGCUACUCGGGAGGCCGAGGCUGGAGGAUUGCUUGAGCCCAGGAGUUCUGGGCCGUAGUGUGCUAUGCUGAUCAGGUGUUCGCACAAAGUUUGGCAUCAAUAUGGUGACCUCCCACGAGCAGGGGACCACCAGGUUACCUAAGGAGGGGUGAACCAGCCCAGGCUGGAAAUGGAGCAGGUCAAAACUGCGCUGAUCAGUAGUGGGAUCGUGCCUGUGAAUAGCCACUACACUCUAGUCUGGGCAACAUAGUGAGACCCUGCCUCAA